This 464-nucleotide ribosomal RNA is filed under the name Streptococcus mutans. Its description in RNAcentral is "bacterial SSU rRNA". It matches the Rfam family "Bacterial small subunit ribosomal RNA", at positions 51 to 491 of the family's 1533-position model. The record is from RNAcentral. Lineage: Bacteria; Bacillati; Bacillota; Bacilli; Lactobacillales; Streptococcaceae.
AUACAUGCAAGUGGGACGCAAGGGAACACACUGUGCUUGCACACCGUGUUUUCUUGAGUCGCGAACGGGUGAGUAACGCGUAGGUAACCUGCCUAUUAGCGGGGGAUAACUAUUGGAAACGAUAGCUAAUACCGCAUAAUAUUAAUUAUUGCAUGAUAAUUGAUUGAAAGAUGCAAGCGCAUCACUAGUAGAUGGACCUGCGUUGUAUUAGCUAGUUGGUAAGGUAAGAGCUUACCAAGGCGACGAUACAUAGCCGACCUGAGAGGGUGAUCGGCCACACUGGGACUGAGACACGGCCCAGACUCCUACGGGAGGCAGCAGUAGGGAAUCUUCGGCAAUGGACGAAAGUCUGACCGAGCAACGCCGCGUGAGUGAAGAAGGUUUUCGGAUCGUAAAGCUCUGUUGUAAGUCAAGAACGUGUGUGAGAGUGGAAAGUUCACACAGUGACGGAGCUACCAGAAAGG